Vespa crabro (European hornet) is the source of this 1698-nucleotide long non-coding RNA. RefSeq lists it as uncharacterized. The transcript is spliced from 6 exons. Lineage: Eukaryota; Metazoa; Arthropoda; Insecta; Hymenoptera; Vespidae. The record is from RefSeq and is a predicted model, not a curated record.
AUUACGAUAUGAGUUUAAUUAUAAAAUAUAUUAUAAUAUUUAUGGAGUAUAUAUGUAAAUUAUAUAUAAUUAUUAAGAUUUUGUUUUAUCAAAAAAUUUGAGGAAAUCGAUUUAUUUUGAUAUUUACUCAAAUUUGUAAUCGACCAGGUGUAAUAGAUAUUAUAGUUUAGUAUGCCCAUAUAUGUACAUUAAUGCACAUAUCAAUGAGGUCUUUUCCUGCCCAUAAAAGGAAAUUAUUUGGUCUUCAUGACAUCUUUGCUAAUUUUGAGGAUAAAUUACAUAAUUUAGCAAUCUGUAAUGUGGCUAAUAUUCUCAAAACCUCUUGGUCUAAAAUAUUUGGAUAAGUUGAUGACAAAAUAGGAUGGAGAUGUUAGCGUUACCAAUAAUGGAGCAAUUUUGAAGAAAACGGAUAUAAAUGAAGUUUCAAAAUUGUCCAUUUGUCUUAAUCUCUCGGAUUGGAGAUCAUAUUAAUGGAGUAAUUAUAUUAACUGGUGCUUUGUUGAGAACAAGUUGAACAAUUAUAUAAAGCAAUAUAUACGAUAAGAAUAGCGGAUGGAUUUGAAAUGUAUGACUGAUCAUUUUAAAACAAUUAUGUACAAGUUACCAGAAAGCAUGGAAAAUUUAGAAUCGUACAUCAAGAUUACUAUGAUGUUACUGAGCUUUAAGAUAUAAUUAUUCAUUUUGUAACGACUUCUGUCUUGAAAAUUUUUAAUAUUUAAACAACCAUAGUCUAAACAAUAUAUCUUUAUUUUUAGUAUCAAUAAGUGCUAUAAACAAACGGCAGAAAUUGUAAUAAAUGUUGUAUUAACAAUUUAUGAUCAUAUUACAUAUGAUGUUAAUUUUGAAUUAAUAAGAAUAUAAGAAAGAGUUGAUACCUUGAGCUAUUCCCAGGGAAAUGGCCUAAGAGAGGAUUUAGAAAUUUCUGUCUGAUGUCAUAGAGGUUAGGGAAUAUCAUACUAGCAAUCUUAAUUUGCCUUUUUAUACUAUCAAAAUCGAAGACAAAAAAUAAGCUACAUGUCAUUUUGGACGAAAAUUAUAGAAUAUUAGGUAUACAAAUAUGAGAUAGAAAAAUUUAUUGAAAUGGUAAAAUUGCUCAAGGAAACUGAUACGACACUUGGCAGUAGGGAUUUGAUGGUGAAAUAAAUCAUUUUCUUUUGCAAGAUUUACCAGCAGUUAGACAGAUUGGUGGUCUAGAAAUAAAAAUUAUUGAAGAAAUUGAACGUGCAAUUCAGGAUGCAUUGUGCAUUGUACAUAACGUACUUAAUACUAAGGAUAAAAAGAUUUUGUAUGAUGGUGGCGCAACAGGAAUUUCAUAUACAUUGAUAUGUGCAGCAGAAGCCAAGAUGAUCAAUACUUCAGAGCAAUAUACAUUCCAUGCAUUUGUUUAAGCUUUGAAAGCUUUUCAAAUGGCAUUGGCCGAAAAUUCAGGUUUUCCUCUAGUAAAUGCUUUUGUUGGCACAAAGGCUCAACGACUAAUAGAAAAUAAUUCUGCUUUAGGAAUUGAUUAUUCAUAUCGUGAUAUUGCAGACAUGAAAGUGUAAAAUGUUAUUGAAACAUUAACAAGCAAAACUCAAAUUUUCUUGGUCAUUUAAUUAAAUAUUGAAAAUCGAUAACGCAUACUUACGUUCAUAAAAUAAUUCUACUGAUGCUACCUAAAGUAUAAUAUUUUUAACUUUUUCAGUAUUAUUUUAUCGGAAA